ACGCACGCUGGCGGCGUGCCUAAUACCUGCAAGUAGCACGCUGAAGGAGGAGCUUGCUUCUCUGGAUGAGUUGCGAACGGGUGAGUAACGCGUAGGUAACCUGCCUGGUAGCGGGGGAUAACUAUUGGAAACGAUAGCUAAUACCGCAUAAUAGUAGAUGUUGCAUGACAUUUGCUUAAAAGGUGCAAUUGCAUCACUACCAGAUGGACCUGCGUUGUAUUAGCUAGUUGGUGAGGUAACGGCUCACCAAGGCAACGAUACAUAGCCGACCUGAGAGGGUGAUCGGCCACACUGGGACUGAGACACGGCCCAGACUCCUACGGGAGGCAGCAGUAGGGAAUCUUCGGCAAUGGACGGAAGUCUGACCGAGCAACGCCGCGUGAGUGAAGAAGGUUUUCGGAUCGUAAAGCUCUGUUGUAAGAGAAGAACGAGUGUGAGAGUGGAAAGUUCACACUGUGACGGUAUCUUACCAGAAAGGGACGGCUAACUACGUG
Molecule: ribosomal RNA, 494 nt
Filed under: uncultured bacterium
Lineage: Bacteria
Description: partial 16S ribosomal RNA
Rfam family: Bacterial small subunit ribosomal RNA
Source: RNAcentral